CGCCCGCCUGCAGCUUCCGCUGUUGCCUAAGUCGACGCGGAGCGAGCUCCUCCCCAAGCUGCUGACGGCCGACACCUCCACGACUGCAGGCUCCUGCUGGUCUGCUUCAAAAGCACUGACAGAGAAGGCCUGUUUCAAAGGAACACAUCUGUCUGUUGGUGCUUGAGCAUCACACGUUGUGUGGUGCCGCACAAGCACAAUGGGCAGUAGCAGGGUGAUGAUGGUCGUCGUGCUGCCGCACAAGCACAAUGGGCAGUAGCAGGGUGAUGGUGGUCGUCGUGGUGCCGCAAAAGCACAACUGCGUCUUCAUCGCCAAUGCCAAGAACAUGGUCCUUGACUGGGGAUUCUUUCUACGGCAACAACGUAUGCACUCAACAUGUCAAACUUAGGGAAAUGAAGCCAGGUAUGCUGCUCCGAGAACUUAAAGAAGCUCCUGGCAUGCUUGAUGGUGCGCCACUUCCAUGGCUUAUAAACAUGCAGAGAUAUGGUCCUCCACCCUCUUAUCCUUUGCUAAAGAUUCCUGGAGUGAAUGCUCCAAUUUCUCUUGGUGCUACUUUUGGUUACCGACCCGGGGAAUGGGGAAAGCAUCCUGUGGAUGAGGAUUCCUUCGGGCUGUUAUGGUGGUGCUUGUCCGAUUGACAUACGCGUGAUGGACAUCCUCCGUGGCUUCCUGUCAUAUGCUGACAAACUCUACGACCCGACCAUGGGGAAAUAGCGCUUCGUUCAGGGCUGAUGAAGUCGCAAGGGAGGUCCAAGCAACCCGCCAAGUUUGGGGUUUCUAGCACCAGCGGGCUGGUUGGCUGGUCGCCCUCUUCCACCCCAUCUCCAAGGGCCCACUACCACCCACAGCCAAAGAUCAAUGCCCUACUGCUAGUGACGGCGUGUGACCGUGACUGGCUGGAGGAGCUUGCCAUGACGCAAGGAUGGCUGCGGGGAAGCAUGGAGGAUGAGCUGGUGGUCGCCUUCCAAGGCUGCUGCUGCCAGCAGUACGACUGGAGUUGCUGCCUCCGGCGUUUUUCGGCGACCACGCCCCAGAGUUCUACUGCCAGCCACAAUUCUGGGCACCAAUCUGAGCUGCUGCUACUCGUUAUGAGGGAGUGGAGCUUCAGAAGCUCAUAUUGGCUCAUAACAACCUGGAAGUGCUAAUAGAAGUCGUUAGAAAUAUCUUCUCUUGUGGUGUUUCAUAAGCCACAACCAGAUAUGUUCCCUUGCUGCACAGGUCUGAUGGUUCAAAGACGCUGAUGUUCACGAGUAUGGUUCAAGGCCUAAUCCGAGUAAUGGUUGUGAUCUGCAUGCAUAUUCAGGUCGGAGAUACAAGACAUGAAUUCAUGUUUUUUCAUGGCAAGGUAUAAUACUAGAUGGUUUGCAUGCAUCUGAUGAUUCAUCAAUACAAACUUAUGUCAGGAGCAGAUAUUUGGCCAUUGAGCCCUAGGUUAAUUCUUACAAAAUUUUCUGUUUUAACUGAUGAAAUCCCUUUAUAUUUAGAUUCACUAUUAAUUUGCUUGGAAUUUUUAAAUACUGCCUAUAACAUUGGCAUUGCAUGUUUACAUUUUAAAGUUAUCUGGUUAUCGAUUCAGUCAGUGCAU
Molecule: long non-coding RNA, 1586 nt
Organism: Lolium rigidum
Lineage: Eukaryota; Viridiplantae; Streptophyta; Magnoliopsida; Poales; Poaceae
Exons: 7
Source: RefSeq, a predicted model, not a curated record